UUUCUACUCUGUGUCCAAGUGUUGAAUUCCUCCUACCCUGUGAGAGGAUGACUACCCAGAAAUGACCUCUGGGGUUAUCUUGGACUUGAAUGGUGCAGAGGUAACAACUGAUGGUGUGGAGCCUACAAAUGAAUGUGAAAAGCAACAGGUCUUCCCCCGCCAGUCUCCCUUGCAGCAACCCCGCAGGAAGGCAGUGAGAUGAAAAGCCAGAAGGCUUCACAACAGAUGGAAGUUACAGAAGAAGACCAAUUUGGGAUUGAUAGCAGGAAAACCUCUUUCUAAAUACAGGCAUCUGCACAUAAAAAGAUAGCCCACCCUACAGGUUUCUUACUUCCUGGUCACAAAAUGGCUGCCGAAGUCCAUAAGCUAAAUCCUAAUGUGAGUGAACAUGAUCAAGGAUUCAUGACUACAACCCCAAAAUACGGCACUUCUGCCUGUGUGGAAACAACAGAAGCAGGAAGAUUACUCUCAUUUUUCUCUGGCCUUUUUCCCUUGAAGCAGACUAUAAAGAAGAAUCUGACCUUCCUCUGAAGGAAACCUUCAUUCCAGACAUACCCUCCCUAUAUCCAAAGAACAUCUUUAUCUUUAAAGACACAGAGAUGUCAAGAAGAAUCUGAACAAACAGGCUUUGCCAGAUCCCCCAGUUUACUAAUAUUGAACCAUACUCUUUUGUUCUUCAAUCAUACUUCUGCAUGAUGUCCAUAAAAAUACACAGUUUUCCCCAUUCCUUUUGGGUAUUUAUUCCCGAAAGCUUCUGUGUCAUGUAAAACUUACAUUAAAUAAAUUUGUAUGCUUUU
Molecule: long non-coding RNA, 797 nt
Filed under: Homo sapiens (human)
Lineage: Eukaryota; Metazoa; Chordata; Mammalia; Primates; Hominidae
Description: HSALNT0097129
Source: RNAcentral